Molecule: long non-coding RNA, 2492 nt
Organism: Physeter macrocephalus (sperm whale)
Lineage: Eukaryota; Metazoa; Chordata; Mammalia; Artiodactyla; Physeteridae
Exons: 3
Source: RefSeq, a predicted model, not a curated record
AGAAGGAGAGGGCAGCUGGUGGAUCCCUGGCUUCUGGCUGGGCUGAUCCAGGAGGUUUCUUCUUAGGAGACCCCUUGUAUCUGGGUUGGAGGAGACUAAAGCAGGCCUCUUAGCUGUCCCCACAUACCCUAACCCCAUAGGAAAUGCCAGUUCGGCUAGGAGGGGCCCCCUGGCUUCACCACACACCCCCCUACACUUCCCCAGGCAGGCUGCCCAGGCCAGGAUGUGGAUGGGAACUGUCAACAGACACUCUUUAAAUAUUUACCCACACUUUCUCUGGGGGGCUUCCCCCAUCCCCAAGACUGGGUAAAUUCAAGUUAAUUCUAAUGGAUAAAGGAACCUUAUUCCAUCAGCACCCUUUCCUGGCCACAAACAUGUACAGUUAUGUGGACUUAACCCAGACAGAGAGAAAAGGGAGAAAGUCAGAGAGCUGUGGAUAUGUGUGCUGUGUGCAGGUGAAUGAAGAAGAGCAAUAAGAAUGAUUUUUCCGGUCCUCCCCCUCCACAGUGUGUGAGGUUGUCAUACACAGGGCAACGCGGGGCCAUACUGGGGAUCCACACAUACUGUAUGUGCUGCCUUCCAUUCUGAAAAACAUCAAAUGCAUGCUCACUCAGCUAUCACGCAUGCCGGGAAGCACCCCAUCACCUCACAGACCCUGAGCACACACAUGCACAUCCAGGCACAUAUGAAAAUAAGACCUGAUAAACACACAUGCAUCUUUAGCUCUUUGCAUCAUGAAAAAAAAGGCUACCUAUUUUCCUUCCACAUCCUGGGGUUUCAGGGUUGGAUGAGGAAGGAGGCAGUUAGAAAACCAGAUCUUUUUCUUCCCCAUCCAGAGCCCAGCUCUGGGGAUGGAGGAAGAAAUGAAAGUGCAGGGGAGGAUGGUGUAGAGAGAAUGAGCUUCCCCCUUUUGUAUCUAAAUAAUUGCUGAGGAAAUGGCCACUCUCAGCCAAAUUCCCAAAGGAGAGUCACUGGUGGCCCAGCAAGAGACGCUUCCAGGAUCCCCUGAAUUUGGAAGAACCUACCCCUGUCUGACUUAGGGACAGCCCAAACUCUGUGACACCCAGAACUCUGGCCCUGGAGCAGCAGGAGGGGAGGGUCAGCGGAGGGCCGUGUCAGGGCUGCAGACCUCCCCAGGAUCCAGGGCAGUAGAGGGCAUGACAGAGGUCUCCUCCACAACCAGAGCGCGCUGCAGCCUUGGUUCUGGCCCUGGCUUUUCUGAGCCUGUUCUGUGGCUACUGAGCUGAAGGAGACAGACUCUGGGCUCCCAGCUUCUAGGUCACUAGGGACUGUCAUAAAUACUUUCUCUUCCCCUCCUGGAAAGAGGAGGCUGGGCAGGCCGGAUCCGCUCUGGGGCCUGUGCCUUAUCUUUUAGGGGCUGGGGGGAUAUCUCGACACUUUAUGGUCCAGCGAAAACCCUGCCACAGAGCUAUUCUUCUGGGCCUUUGUGUCCUGGAAUGCGACUGUCCCGAGUGUGCUGCCAGCACCGUCUGCUCCGAGAGCCCACCAGUCCCGAAAUCCCUGGUUGGACUUGGUUUCCCCUUUCGGGGUGGAGGGGGGCGCGUCCCUCGCCUUUUCUUUCUUAAGUUCAUUUGAUUUUUUUUUUCUUUUACACGUAUCUGGUUGAUUUUGCUCCGGGAGCCUGGAAAUAAAGGAACAGCAAGCAGCCAUCCUUGCUGGGGCGUCUCUGUCCCUCGCCCCCCAUCCUUGCUGGGGCGUCUCUGUCCCUCGCCCCGAGGCCUGCACCGCCCUCCUAGCGAUUAUUUUCGGCGCCCGCCCUCCUGAGAUUCCCGAGUCUGCUGCCAGAGCGAGAGGGCCCAUCUCCCGCCGCCACUCGCGAUUUAUUUACACCUCAGAGACACUGUGCAAAGGAACUGCCGCGAUUUCCCCCGCGUUCAGGCGCAUUUCUGGCCUCGGAACACCUCCGCGCACGCAGAUGCACGCCCCCAAGCUCCCGCGACCGCCUGCCCGCGGCGCGCACCCUAAACUCCUCGCUCCUCUUACUCUGCCGCUGGUCCACACCGCCUAUUCCGCUAACGCCUGCAGGACUUUGGGGUGGGAUUCUGACUUCUCCCGGCUCUUUGCCCCCUGGUUUGUAGCCCAUCCCUCUCUCUCACGCGCGCGCUCUCUCCACCUCUCCCUCCCAGCCAGUGAGGUCCUGUUCUCCGUGGACCAUAGACAAAACAUUCCUAUAAUCCGAUUUCAAAGGAAAGAGUGUCCACCUUAUUUAACCCAUAAAACAAUUAAGCCCAGACGUCUAGCCAGCUCCGCGCUGCUGUUUUGUUCGGCCCCAUUCAGAAUCCAGCGCAGGGAGACAAACAGCGCCAUAAAAGAGGCAUUUCGGGGCCGCGGAAAUGUACCUAUCCUCCGCCUUCCCAAGUGGAACAACCUUUAGGGUUUUGUGAUUCUCACAAAGGAGCAGAGGAGAGGUGGGAGGAGAAGAUUAGGGCAGGGGGGCGUUUGCAAGCCCCUCUUUCCUCCCCAGCUUUCGU